RNAcentral lists this ribosomal RNA (1386 nucleotides) under Enterobacter sp. RNAcentral describes it as "bacterial SSU rRNA". It matches the Rfam family "Bacterial small subunit ribosomal RNA", at positions 62 to 1440 of the family's 1533-position model. The record is from RNAcentral. Lineage: Bacteria; Pseudomonadati; Pseudomonadota; Gammaproteobacteria; Enterobacterales; Enterobacteriaceae.
UCGAGCGGUAGCACAGAGAGCUUGCUCUCGGGUGACGAGCGGCGGACGGGUGAGUAAUGUCUGGGAAACUGCCUGAUGGAGGGGGAUAACUACUGGAAACGGUAGCUAAUACCGCAUAAUGUCGCAAGACCAAAGAGGGGGACCUUCGGGCCUCUUGCCAUCAGAUGUGCCCAGAUGGGAUUAGCUAGUAGGUGGGGUAACGGCUCACCUAGGCGACGAUCCCUAGCUGGUCUGAGAGGAUGACCAGCCACACUGGAACUGAGACACGGUCCAGACUCCUACGGGAGGCAGCAGUGGGGAAUAUUGCACAAUGGGCGCAAGCCUGAUGCAGCCAUGCCGCGUGUAUGAAGAAGGCCUUCGGGUUGUAAAGUACUUUCAGCGGGGAGGAAGGUGUUGAGGUUAAUAACCUCGUCAAUUGACGUUACCCGCAGAAGAAGCACCGGCUAACUCCGUGCCAGCAGCCGCGGUAAUACGGAGGGUGCAAGCGUUAAUCGGAAUUACUGGGCGUAAAGCGCACGCAGGCGGUCUGUCAAGUCGGAUGUGAAAUCCCCGGGCUCAACCUGGGAACUGCAUUCGAAACUGGCAGGCUAGAGUCUUGUAGAGGGGGGUAGAAUUCCAGGUGUAGCGGUGAAAUGCGUAGAGAUCUGGAGGAAUACCGGUGGCGAAGGCGGCCCCCUGGACAAAGACUGACGCUCAGGUGCGAAAGCGUGGGGAGCAAACAGGAUUAGAUACCCUGGUAGUCCACGCCGUAAACGAUGUCGACUUGGAGGUUGUGCCCUUGAGGCGUGGCUUCCGGAGCUAACGCGUUAAGUCGACCGCCUGGGGAGUACGGCCGCAAGGUUAAAACUCAAAUGAAUUGACGGGGGCCCGCACAAGCGGUGGAGCAUGUGGUUUAAUUCGAUGCAACGCGAAGAACCUUACCUACUCUUGACAUCCAGAGAACUUAGCAGAGAUGGAUUGGUGCCUUCGGGAACUCUGAGACAGGUGCUGCAUGGCUGUCGUCAGCUCGUGUUGUGAAAUGUUGGGUUAAGUCCCGCAACGAGCGCAACCCUUAUCCUUUGUUGCCAGCGGUCCGGCCGGGAACUCAAAGGAGACUGCCAGUGAUAAACUGGAGGAAGGUGGGGAUGACGUCAAGUCAUCAUGGCCCUUACGAGUAGGGCUACACACGUGCUACAAUGGCGCAUACAAAGAGAAGCGACCUCGCGAGAGCAAGCGGACCUCAUAAAGUGCGUCGUAGUCCGGAUUGGAGUCUGCAACUCGACUCCAUGAAGUCGGAAUCGCUAGUAAUCGUAGAUCAGAAUGCUACGGUGAAUACGUUCCCGGGCCUUGUACACACCGCCCGUCACACCAUGGGAGUGGGUUGCAAAAGAAGUAGGUAGCUUAACC